CCUACGGGAGGCAGCAGUGGGGGAUAUUGCACAAUGGGGGGAACCCUGAUGCAGCGACGCCGCGUGGGUGAAGAAGCGCCUCGGCGCGUAAAGCCCUGUCAGCAGGGAAGAAAAUGACGGUACCUGAAGAAGAAGCCCCGGCUAACUACGUGCCAGCAGCCGCGGUAAUACGUAGGGGGCAAGCGUUAUCCGGAGUUACUGGGUGGAAAGGGGGCGCAGACGGCGAUGCAAGCCAGGGGUGAAAGCCCGGGGCCCAACCCCGGGACUGCUCUUGGAACUGCGUGGCUGGAGUGCAGGAGGGGCAGGCGGAAUUCCUUGUGUAGCGGUGAAAUGCGUAGAUAUCAGGAGGAACACCGGUGGCGAAGGCGGCCUGCUGGACUGCAACUGACGUUGAGGCCCGAAAGCGUGGGGAGCAAACAGGAUUAGAUACCCGUGUAGUC
RNAcentral lists this ribosomal RNA (440 nucleotides) under uncultured bacterium. Its description in RNAcentral is "partial 16S ribosomal RNA". It matches the Rfam family "Bacterial small subunit ribosomal RNA", at positions 338 to 795 of the family's 1533-position model. The record is from RNAcentral.